GACGAACGCUGGCGGCGUGCUUAACACAUGCAAGUCGAACGGAAAGGCCCUGCUUUUGUGGGGUGCUCGAGUGGCGAACGGGUGAGUAACACGUGAGUAACCUGCCCUUGACUUUGGGAUAACUUCAGGAAACUGGGGCUAAUACCGGAUAGGAGCUCCUGCUCCAUGGUGGGGGUUGGAAAGUUUCGGCGGUUGGGGAUGGACUCGCGGCUUAUCAGCUUCUUGGUGGGGUAGUGGCUUACCAAGGCUUUGACGGGUAGCCGGCCUGAGAGGGUGACCGGCCACAUUGGGACUGAGAUACGGCCCAGACUCCUACGGGAGGCAGCAGUGGGGAAUAUUGCACAAUGGGCGGAAGCCUGAUGCAGCAACGCCGCGUGCGGGAUGACGGCCUUCGGGUUGUAAACCGCUUUCGCCUGUGACGAAGCGUGAGUGACGGUAAUGGGUAAAGAAGCACCGGCUAACUACGUG
RNAcentral lists this ribosomal RNA (468 nucleotides) under uncultured bacterium. RNAcentral describes it as "partial 16S ribosomal RNA". It matches the Rfam family "Bacterial small subunit ribosomal RNA", at positions 28 to 507 of the family's 1533-position model. The record is from RNAcentral.